GCUACGGGAGGCUUCAGUGGGGAAUAUUGGGCAAUGGAGGAAACUCUGACCCAGCAACGCCGCGUGAAUGAUGAAGGUCUUCGGAUUGUAAAGUUCUUUUCUAAGGGAAGAAGAAAGUGACGGUACCUUAGGAAUAAGCCUCGGCUAACUACGUGCCAGCAGCCGCGGUAAUACGUAGGAGGCGAGCGUUAUCCGGAAUUACUGGGUGUAAAGGGAGAGUAGGUGGCAAGGUAAGCGAUAUGUGAAAGCCUUAAGCUGAACUUAAGGAUUGCAUAACGAACUAUCUAGCUAGAGUACAGGAGAGGAAAGCGGAAUUCCUAGUGUAGCGGUGAAAUGCGUAGAUAUUAGGAAGAACACCAGUGGCGAAGGCGGCUUUCUGGACUGAAACUGACGCUGAGGCUCGAAAGCGUGGGGAGCGAACAGGAUUAGAUACCCGGGUAGUC
This 443-nucleotide ribosomal RNA is filed under the name uncultured bacterium. Its description in RNAcentral is "partial 16S ribosomal RNA". It matches the Rfam family "Bacterial small subunit ribosomal RNA", at positions 338 to 795 of the family's 1533-position model. The record is from RNAcentral.